AUGAACGCUGGCGGCGUGUCUAAGGCAUGCAAGUCGAACGGUUAUUUUACCGCAAGGUGAAAUGAUAGUGGCAAACGGGUGCGUAACACCCUGGUAACCUGCCUUAAAGUUCAGAAUAAUUCGCCGAAAGGUGAACUAAUACUGGAUGUGGUUUAUCAUCGCAAGAUGAUAAAAGAAAGCCCAAAAGGCGCUUUAAGAGGGACCUAGGUUCCAUCAGCUUGUUGGUAGGGUAACGGCCUACCAAGGCUACGACGGAUAGGGGGCGUGAGAGCGCGACCCCCCUCACUGGGACUGAGACACUGCCCAGACUCCUACGGGAGGCUGCAGUCAAGAAUAUUCCUCAAUGGACGAAAGUCUGAAGGAGCGACGCCGCGUGCAGGAAGAAACCCUUCGGGGUGUAAACUGCUUUUCUAUAGGAAGAACUUUGACGGUACUAUAGGAAUAAGGGGUUGCUAACUCUGU
RNAcentral lists this ribosomal RNA (462 nucleotides) under uncultured bacterium. RNAcentral describes it as "bacterial SSU rRNA". It matches the Rfam family "Bacterial small subunit ribosomal RNA", at positions 29 to 506 of the family's 1533-position model. The record is from RNAcentral.